UGGUCUGUGUGUGUGUGCGCGCGCAAGAGAGUGUGUGAGUGUUCACAAGCAUGUGUGGAGCGUUAAUUUGGAAUGCCAUGUGUGUGUUUACAGUGCAGUGACCAGCAAAGACCACGCCACAUCUAAACGCAGAGAGUAAUAUACGGGAAGAGAGUAAAUGCAGCAGAGCUUGACUCACUAGACUUUCCCACAAUCCAUUGGAUCAUCAAUAUCAGCCAACUAAGAUGUAGAGGCUUUACCACACAUUCUGCAUGUGAACCUGAUACCACAUAGUCGUAAAGACUCUUUAUCCCAUGGGCGAAAUUAGGGAAAAGGAAAUGUUGACCUCAGGGGCCACACAGAGUGAGUAAAGCCCCCUAAACUGAACUUCAACUGCUUGACAUCCGUUCACGUCACCACCACAAGCCUCCAGGAAGAAGUUCCUUUUUGAACUGGUGCAGGAACUGACGCAGGGGUUCCUCUAUUCACUUCCACACAACUUCAGAACUGACCUGAGGUAAUGGGAGAUAGCAGGCUGAAAGAGGUGAGGCAGGAGACAUGUUAGAAACAGUGUUAAAACAGUUAAAAUGGCAGCUUGAAUCCUUUUUAAGAGGUUGAACUUGGCUUGAUAAAAAUGGCUUAAAAGACCAAGAACAAGUCCAGAAAUAAGUUAAAUAUAUUUUUUAAUCUGUUAAAACUAUUGUUGACAGACAAUUUAGGCCAAGUUUGAGAAAAUGCUGCAAAGGUUAUUCACACAUAUUAAUCAAUGAAUAAAAUACUAAUAUAUUUAAUACUAACAUAUUUGAUACUCUUA
Long non-coding RNA from Astyanax mexicanus (Mexican tetra), 793 nucleotides. RefSeq lists it as uncharacterized. NCBI's taxonomy places the organism in Eukaryota, Metazoa, Chordata, Actinopteri, Characiformes, Acestrorhamphidae. The record is from RefSeq and is a predicted model, not a curated record. The transcript is spliced from 2 exons.